CCUACGGGAGGCAGCAGUGAGGAAUAUUGGUCAAUGGGGGAAACCCUGAUGCAGCGACGCCGCGUGAGUGAAGAAGUAAUUCGUUAUGUAAAGCUCUAUCAGCAGGGAAGAAAAUGACGGUACCUGAGUACGAAGCCCCGGCUAACUACGUGCCAGCAGCCGCGGUAAUACGUAGGGGGCAAGCGUUAUCCGGAUUUACUGGGUGUAAAGGGAGCGUAGACGGCAGUGCAAGUCUGGAGUGAAAGGCGGGGGCUCAACCCCCGGACUGCUCUGGAAACUGUACGGCUGGAGUGCAGGAGAGGUAAGUGGAAUUCGUAGUGUAGCGGUGAAAUGCGUAGAUAUUAGGAGGAACACCAGUGGCGAAGGCGGCAUACUGGACUGUAACUGACGUUGAGGCUCGAAAGCGUGGGGAGCAAACAGGAUUAGAUACCCGUGUAGUC
RNAcentral lists this ribosomal RNA (440 nucleotides) under uncultured bacterium. RNAcentral describes it as "partial 16S ribosomal RNA". It matches the Rfam family "Bacterial small subunit ribosomal RNA", at positions 338 to 795 of the family's 1533-position model. The record is from RNAcentral.